This is a long non-coding RNA of Bombus terrestris (buff-tailed bumblebee), 1967 nucleotides long. RefSeq lists it as uncharacterized. Lineage: Eukaryota; Metazoa; Arthropoda; Insecta; Hymenoptera; Apidae. The record is from RefSeq and is a predicted model, not a curated record. The transcript is spliced from 3 exons.
GCGCAACUGCGGCCGCCGCGGCCAGCAAAUUGCCUGCUUCCGGGCCUCAUUACAUCACUCUGUUACUCUGUUAACGCUCGCCGGAAACCCCUCUGCCUACCUCGUCUAAACUCUCUCUCGCAUGUACCAACACACACUAUUUAAAUGCACUGUGUCGCGGACGAUGCGGCCGCGCGUACUUUCAAUACGAAAGAGGGAGAAAACGAUACAUGCGUCUACCUUGCUGCGUUUUCUUACCGGAUGAUUCGAUGAUGGUUGAGCGCUCUUUUGAUGAACAGGCAAUUACAUGAUGGUUUGCUUGGUUUCUUGUAACUCUGGUGAUUAGUAUGACGAGAAAAGCAGAAAUACUAGUACAACGAUAAAAACCGGAACGACUUCCAUGAUCACGAUCCAUGCUUAAUACAUGACAAAGUUCAUCGAUGAAAAGAGAGGACAGCGAGGAAAACAUGGAUAUUACCUGAACGAGGCGCUCUUCCUCUAAAAACAGGAAUUCUUUAACGACGAAAAUAGAGCCAAACGAUAACCAGUGAACACAACCCGCAGAAAACAAGAACACCUAUUUAACGAUGGACUCGAGUAAGUCUUGAAUUCUUCUUGGUGCAACAAAGAUUUCCGAAUUAAACAGUAAAGAGAAAAGAAGAGCAAAGACAAAAAUGGAUGUAACCAAUCAAAGGCUAACUUAAAAUUUUAAAUUUUAACUUUAAAUUGUAGAAUCUAGGUGUAUGAAGUAAUAAUGAAAAAAAUAUUAAGUGAACUUUUAGAAUUUCUUUUUGCAGUCUGAAUGUUAAGGAUGUCAAAAUUCAAUGAUGCAAAUUGAUUGCGAAUAAUUGUAAAUGGAACGUUGCCUUAAUUGAUCUUUAAUGGGUUAAGAAAUCUUACAUAAGAGAUAUUAUGACACGAAACAAAAAACGAUAAUACAAGAGAGACAAAUGGGGGAGGAUUUGCAGAAUUUACGAGGCGUUAAAAAAAUGAAUAACAACGUGGUGUAGAAUGCGGGCCAAUAAAAGAGACGGCAGGAAAAAUUGCGAACGUGGGCGGUAAUUUAGCGUUGAAGAUACACGCCGGAGCGGUUAAUACGCGAAACAUGCGUGCAGACAGGUGAGGCUGGUGUUCACGAGGGUGUACACAGUGUAUAUCAUAAACACGAACCGGUAAAACCCGUGGGAAAGAAUCGGGAAUAAUAAACGUGCCGAUUUUUAUUCAGCGGUUAUCGGAAAUUCGCCCACGAGGCGAUAAAUGUUCGGAUAGUUCCACUACUGUACACCUCUAAAUCAUUGUAGUUAUUUUUCAGGAAUGGUGGAAGCGACAUUACACCCUGUCUGGCCGUAUGUAUGAGUGUAACGGUAAAAUGAUUUAUACAAAUCUCAUGAUCUUGUAACUAUGUCAAAUAGAAAUUUGACUUAGACUUAAUAAUCAUUAAAUGCGUUAUAUAUCAAUGGAACAUCGUUUAUUAGCGUCCGAAAUUGUGUUAUCAUUUUUUCUAUACUUAAAUGUUUUAUUAUGAAAUUAAUACUAUAAUGUAUAAUGUAUUUGCUACAACAGGAUCUUUUGUUCAUGAUGUUAAUAUGGAAACUGUCACUUCGCCGGUCUUUUCUUAUUGUCAAAAUAAGCUUAAUUCCAAGACAAAGCAGACAGAUAAAACUCAGUCAUUGUAGAGUCAUUGACUUCCGAGCUAUCAGGACAUUUAUUUCAGAGUUGUUUUAAGCUCUUAUUUCCUAUACUAUUUAUUACAAUUUUCUACAACAUUCUUACUUACUAUACUAUUUAUUACAUUAUUCUUAUACAAUUACAACUACAAAAUCAUUAACUUUCAAACUACAUAAAUAGUACUCUUAUUUUGGUUAAACAUAUUCCAAAUUCUUACUUACUACAUUGCUUACUAAGCUGUUUUCAUAUUACAGUUUUCAUAUUAUAGGUACAAUAAUAUAUGCAAUCACAAUCAACUAAAAAAUCCAAAAUGAGAUCCA